Molecule: ribosomal RNA, 472 nt
Filed under: uncultured bacterium
Lineage: Bacteria
Description: partial 16S ribosomal RNA
Rfam family: Bacterial small subunit ribosomal RNA
Source: RNAcentral
UGGGGAAUAUUGCACAAUGGGCGCAAGCCUGAUGCAGCCAUGCCGCGUGUGUGAAGAAGGCCUUCGGGUUGUAAAGCACUUUCAGCGAGGAGGAAGGUGGUGAACUUAAUACGUUCAUCAAUUGACGUUACUCGCAGAAGAAGCACCGGCUAACUCCGUGCCAGCAGCCGCGGUAAUACGGAGGGUGCAAGCGUUAAUCGGAAUUACUGGGCGUAAAGCGCACGCAGGCGGUUUGUUAAGUCAGAUGUGAAAUCCCCGGGCUCAACCUGGGAACUGCAUUUGAAACUGGCAAGCUAGAGUCUCGUAGAGGGGGGCUAGAAUUCCAGGUGUAGCGGUGAAAUGCGUAGAGAUCUGGAGGAAUACCGGUGGCGAAGGCGGCCCCCCUGGANGAAGACUGACGCUCAGGUGCGAAAGCGUGGGGAGCAAACAGAUUAGAUACCCUGGUAGUCACGCUGUAAACGAUGUCGAUUUU